Molecule: small nuclear RNA, 110 nt
Organism: Lemur catta (Ring-tailed lemur)
Lineage: Eukaryota; Metazoa; Chordata; Mammalia; Primates; Lemuridae
Source: RefSeq, a predicted model, not a curated record
GUGCUCACUUUGGUAGUGCGAACACUAAAAGUUGGUGUCAGAUGAUACAAGAAGAUUAGCAUAGCCUUUGUGCAAGGAAGACACAAAUUCAUGAAGCGUUCCCUAUUUUU